UCAUCAAGGAAAACAUAAGGAAAGGCAAUGCAUACUAAUCCUAUAAUGCAAUAAUACAAGAUGCAAGAUCAAAUAUACUAAGACAUAGGAGGGAGCCCGAUUGCUUCGGGAUGGACACCACCCACCUCUUGGCGAUGCCGCGAUAGUAGAAAACUCGACGUUGGGGUUCUUGUACGCCGCUUCAACUCCUCGGGGCGAAGCGAGCCCUCGAGUACCCAAUUCGGCGAUUUCUCCGCACCCGCUCGUAGGAUCGAGAAACCGACUUCGCCGACGCGUUCCGGGAUCUAGCAAUUAGGUUUGCGACCUAACAAAUUAGAUCAAAACCCUAAAUUUCCCAAACUCCCAAAUCCAAGCCCUAGAAUGGCGGCGAGAGGGAAAUCCACGGUGCGAGCUUCAAUUGCGAGCCCGAACCAUCUACUUAUCUCCUCUAGGUUCCAUUUGAACCUAUUCGUACCAUCUCUAAACCAUAAAACCCAAAACCCUAAAAACACCAUUAAAGGGUUGGAGCUUACCUCUAACCUAAGCUUCAAGCUUGAGGGAGAGGGAGAGAAGACGAUCUUCUUCUUCUUCUUAGUCUUCUCCUUCUCUUUCCUCUUCUUUCUUUCCUUCUUCUCCUUCCUCUUCUUCUUCUUCUUCUUCUCUUUCUUUUCUUUUCUUUCCUAGAGAGAGAGAGGAAAAGAGUGUGAGAGAGAGAGAGAGCAGCUGAGAGAGAGUGAGAGGGGUCCCCCACCUCUAAUAAAGGCCAUUUUGCAUAAAAGCCCCUCAACUUUCACCCUAGUGCACUACCCUCACUGGGCAGUUUUCGCGCGGAGGGACCGGUCCCAGCUCGGGGAGACCGGUCCCCGAAGGCUGCCAUUUCGAGCAGAGGGAUUUUCGCGUUCGGGAACCGGUCCUUGCCUGAGAGACCGGUCCCCGGGAGACCGGUCCUUGUCCGAGAGACCGGUUCCCGAGAGCUGCAUUCUCGGGACUUAGCCAAAUUUGGCUAAAUCUCGUCGGGCCAACGUUCGGGAACCGGUCCCUGCCCACCAGGGACCGGUCUCAUCAGAGACCUCCGCAACCCAGCCUGAUGGAACCGGUCCCUCCCUGCCAGGGACCGGUCCCCGAGAGCAUUUCUGCUCCAGUGCAGAUUUUGCACUGGUGCUCCCUCGGACCCUUCCUUAAUGCACUUUAUGCAUUAUAAACGCCUUCGGACUUUCCGAAGCCUACGCACUCGACAACUAGUCGAUUCUAGUCGAAGUCUAAUCCUCGAGUUUCGAGAAUUCACUUCCUUACAGGUUCCCCCUCCCGCAGCGGAAAGAUCCUUGACCACGGGUGUACGCAGCUCUGGGCGACCCGUUGGGCAACAAGAUUGUGGAUUGAAGGUUGAGGUCCAAGUGAGGAUUCCUCCACCUCGAGCCAGGCAGAGCGCGGACUAUCCGCAGUUGAUUGACUCGAGGCCGAGUCGGGUGGCUAGCUUGAAUAAGGUAGAUGGAACCUUAGGGGCUAGUGGUAAUGUGAUGGAUCUAAGGUAAUAGAAACCUUAAAGGUUAGUUGGAUCUGAGCGACAUAGUAAGAUAGAAGUAGAAUCGAGUGAUUUACUUAUGAUAGUUGCAUUAUUG
Molecule: long non-coding RNA, 1598 nt
Filed under: Ananas comosus (pineapple)
Lineage: Eukaryota; Viridiplantae; Streptophyta; Magnoliopsida; Poales; Bromeliaceae
Description: long non-coding RNA (ACOM_LNC039864)
Source: RNAcentral